AGCCUGAACGCUGGCGGCGUGGCUAAGACAUGCAAGUCGUACGGGCGUAGCAAUACGUCAGUGGCGAACGGGUGAGUAAUGUAUCGCUAACGUACCCCUAUGUCCGGGAUAGCUGAGGGAAACUUCAGGUAAUACCGGGUGACAUCACUUUCCCGCAUGGGAGAGUGCUCAAAGGGAAACCGCAAAGGGAGCGGGCGAUAUCGUAUCAGCUAGUUGGUGAGGUAACGGCUCACCAAGGCAAUGACGCGUAGCCGGACUGAGAGGUCGGACGGCCACAUUGGGACUGAGACACUGCCCAGACUCCUACGGGGGCUGCAGUAACGAAUCUUCCGCAAUGCACGCAAGUGUGACGGAGCGACGCCGCGUGUGGGACGAAGUCCUCGGGAUGUAACCACUGUCAGGGGUUACCGAAGUUCUGAGGAACCCCGAGAGGAAGGCACGGCUAACUCUGUCGCCAGCAGCCGC
This 465-nucleotide ribosomal RNA is filed under the name uncultured bacterium. RNAcentral describes it as "SSU rRNA". It matches the Rfam family "Bacterial small subunit ribosomal RNA", at positions 26 to 518 of the family's 1533-position model. The record is from RNAcentral.